AUUGCUUCCAUUCCUCCCCCAAUAAAAUGCAAAUAGCUGACCUCCGAGGUGGGGUUGCAAAGGUGAGAUGGAAUUGUGGGACUGAUGGUCAGGCAGCCACUCUGUACCUGAUCCCCCAACCCGCCUGGCCUGGUGCUGUCCUAGUGCCAGGAGCAGAGGAAGAGCUGGGGCCCAUGGCGUCAGCCCAUUCUACGGAGGUGAACAGAAGAGUGACAGACCUCAAAGAGACAGGACUCAGCAAGGACUGGACCUCUCGUGUCUGCACUUCACUGGCUGUCCACUGGCCUCAGGAUGGCUCUAGCGGAUGGAAAUGACUGUCUGCCCUGGGUCCUUGUUUUCCCUAUUCAGGACUUAUUCAGGACAUCCCAAGCAAGCAAGUACGAGAGCUCAGGGGGCCA
Molecule: long non-coding RNA, 398 nt
Filed under: Equus asinus (donkey)
Lineage: Eukaryota; Metazoa; Chordata; Mammalia; Perissodactyla; Equidae
Description: lncRNA (ENSEASG00005031401.1)
Source: RNAcentral